UGGGGAAUAUUGCACAAUGGGGGAAACCCUGAUGCAGCGACGCCGCGUGGAGGAAGAAGGUCUUCGGAUUGUAAACUCCUGUCCCAGGGGACGAUAAUGACGGUACCCUGGGAGGAAGCACCGGCUAACUACGUGCCAGCAGUCGCGGUAAAACGUAGGGUGCAAGCGUUGUCCGGAAUUACUGGGUGUAAAGGGAGCGCAGGCGGAUUGGCAAGUUGGGAGUGAAAUCUAUGGGCUCAACCCAUAAAUUGCUUUCAAAACUGUCAGUCUUGAGUGGUGUAGAGGUAGGCGGAAUUCCCGGUGUAGCGGUGGAAUGCGUAGAUAUCGGGAGGAACACCAGUGGCGAAGGCGGCCUACUGGGCACUAACUGACGCUGAGGCUCGAAAGCAUGGGUAGCAAACAGG
This 404-nucleotide ribosomal RNA is filed under the name Fusobacteriota bacterium. Its description in RNAcentral is "Fusobacteria bacterium partial 16S ribosomal RNA". It matches the Rfam family "Bacterial small subunit ribosomal RNA", at positions 355 to 776 of the family's 1533-position model. The record is from RNAcentral. Lineage: Bacteria; Fusobacteriati; Fusobacteriota.